Equus quagga is the source of this 546-nucleotide long non-coding RNA. RefSeq lists it as uncharacterized. The record is from RefSeq and is a predicted model, not a curated record. The transcript has 4 exons. NCBI's taxonomy places the organism in Eukaryota, Metazoa, Chordata, Mammalia, Perissodactyla, Equidae.
UCCGCUGAAACCUGUCCACCAUGGAUGACCCUGCUGGUAUUUGAAAUACCAGUGGCAUAGCUUUCAGCAUCACAGAACAUGACAACUGACAGUAUUACUGCCACCACAGUGUGACAACCGACAGACGGGUGGAGUGGUUCUCUGACCAGGAAAUGAACCCAGGCUGCAGAGCUGGAUUCUAGAGUAUAAAUGGAGAACAAUGAGAGAUGAAGACAGAGUGACAGGGUAAAUUAUGAUGGACCCUCAUGUGAUGACAAUGAAGCUGGAUUUUAUUUGUAAGACAUUAGGGAACAACUGGAGGAUGAAGAGAUGCAUCCAGAGCAAAGACAAGGUGCCUGCCUAUGAGGCCUGUCCUGCGCUGAAAGCUGCAGUUUGGGGUGCAUACGUGCUUCUGGCUUUCACUUCCUGAGGAUCAUUCGUUUUGAGAAAUCCGAACAAAGGUGGAGGCCGAAGCUGCACUCUCGCUACUCUCUUCUGCUUCCUGACCACCCCGGGGUUUUUUCUUGUGGCCCUGCAUGGCAUGCCCCGCCUUGCCUCUUAUCUCUA